GAUUCCAGGUUUCAAAGGUCUGACCCCACAUGAACUUGCUCAUAAGUGGGCAAAAGACCUUGGAAACCGCCCUUAUAUGAGCAUAAAAGUGGGAUGAAUAUCCCACGAUAUGCGAAUAUAGGGCCGGAUUGUGAAAGUGCGAGCACGGAACAAUCCGGUG
RNAcentral lists this small RNA (160 nucleotides) under Merdimonas faecis. Its description in RNAcentral is "Clostridiales-1 RNA". It matches the Rfam family "Clostridiales-1 RNA". Lineage: Bacteria; Bacillati; Bacillota; Clostridia; Lachnospirales; Lachnospiraceae. The record is from RNAcentral.